GACCUCAUUUAAGGGCUGACUGCUGCUGUGGAAGGAUCUCUGGUUGGAGAUCCCUUCCUUGUGGAGUUUCCCUUGUGAGCUUAGAUCUUCAGAGACAGGAGGUUGUAAAUGGAACAGUGAAUGUGGUCUCCAAGGAAAUUGUUACUGCACCCUGAACAGAGGAUGGCAGGAAUAACUCCACUAACCUGCUCUCACAGUUUCUCCUGAAGCUGCGUGCAUUCCAUAGAGCAAGAGAUAAAACCUCUCACCUUCAUCUAAUAAGAGUGCUGCUUUGUGCUCUGAAAGACUAAAGGAUUCUUUACCAUGACUCCCAACCUGCUUCAAUCUCUGGACUUCUGUGUCAAUGCAAAAAUGGUUUAAUGUUGAACAUGCAGUC
This is a long non-coding RNA of Coturnix japonica (Japanese quail), 376 nucleotides long. RefSeq lists it as uncharacterized. Lineage: Eukaryota; Metazoa; Chordata; Aves; Galliformes; Phasianidae. The record is from RefSeq and is a predicted model, not a curated record.